AUGAACGCUGGCGGCGUGCCUAAUACAUGCAAGUCGAGCGAACGGACGAGAAGCUUGCUUCUCUGAUGUUAGCGGCGGACGGGUGAGUAACACGUGGAUAACCUACCUAUAAGACUGGGAUAACUUCAGGAAACCGUAGCUAAUACCGGAUAAUAUUUUGAACCGCAUGGUUCAAAAGUGAAAGACGGUCUUGCUGUCACUUAUAGAUGGAUCCGCGCUGCAUUAGCUAGUUGGUAAGGUAACGGCUUACCAAGGCAACGAUGCAUAGCCGACCUGAGAGGGUGAUCGGCCACACUGGAACUGAGACACGGUCCAGACUCCUACGGGAGGCAGCAGUAGGGAAUCUUCCGCAAUGGGCGAAAGCCUGACGGAGCAACGCCGCGUGAGUGAUGAAGGUCUUCGGAUCGUAAAACUCUGUUAUUAGGGAAGAACAUAUGUGUAAGUAACUGUGCACAUCUUGACGGUACCUAAUCAGAAAGCCACGGCUAACUACGUG
This 496-nucleotide ribosomal RNA is filed under the name uncultured bacterium. Its description in RNAcentral is "partial 16S ribosomal RNA". It matches the Rfam family "Bacterial small subunit ribosomal RNA", at positions 29 to 507 of the family's 1533-position model. The record is from RNAcentral.